This 436-nucleotide long non-coding RNA is filed under the name Cricetulus griseus (Chinese hamster). RNAcentral's name for it is "lncRNA (ENSCGRG00000026170.1)". The record is from RNAcentral. Lineage: Eukaryota; Metazoa; Chordata; Mammalia; Rodentia; Cricetidae.
CAUUAGCAUUGAAGCCCUGUUUUCCUCACAGCUAUGUCACUGAGUGUGGUUAUAUGCUCUACAGUUAUGUUUCAGUGAAUGGUGGACCUCCAGGAUCCCAGCACCAGGACAGGAAUCAUCGAAGAGGAGGAUGAAAAGAUCCUAGUUGAGGCCUCUGAGUGUGUUGUAGACCUGCUGUUGGGUCAGCACCUUGGCACACCAGUGGAGACCUGCUGCCUUUGGAGAGGAGGAUCGGGAAUAUGCCGGUAAGGCAAUGGGGUAACCAGAGGUGAGGCUGUGGUUGGGGGUGGUAGCAGUGGACCUCAGCUGGUGGCCUCGUUCCAGAGGAGGCAGCACGGCUGUGUCUUCUUCCUGCCUGUGUGUGUGUGUGAGCAGCAGCUAGUGCAGCUGCCCUCACCUUAACGCCCUGGUCAUUUCUCAGUCUUGUAAGAGAAAU